AUCAAUCUUUCUUCGCUCGAAGUGGUCUCCACGCGUUAAACAUGUGAGGUUUCCACUAUCCUUCCUACAUACAUAAAUUCAUUUAUCUAGACGGUAGGGUUUCAUUAGUCCACAAGCCACCGAUUGCGUUUAACACAACACACAUACGAUAAAUAGAAUGGCGAAAACAUCGUGAACAAGCCCACAUAUAGACAUCAAUCAUAACCUAUACAUGUGUUGUUACUUCCACAAUCCCCUAAGAGCAAGUACAAUAAGGUGACAUAAGUAGGCUAUAAGGAUUAGAAUAAUAUAUUUUUGCUUAAUUGGAGGAGAGAGAAGAGAACCGGGCUCUUCGUGAGUAGCGAGCUGCAGCACGAGACCCAAGACACUUUGUGAGAUUGUAAGGUGAGCCAACUAUUACUAAAGUAGUACACAUCUAAAACUUACUAUUGUAUAUGCCGGCUAUUAGGUUGGCUCUGUAUGACAUGGCAACUCCUUAUAGCCGAUUGUUGGUUGUAUUAUUAAUCAUGCUCUAAUGAAAAAGCACGACAC
RNAcentral lists this long non-coding RNA (531 nucleotides) under Hordeum vulgare. Its description in RNAcentral is "long non-coding RNA (HVUL_LNC005512)". Lineage: Eukaryota; Viridiplantae; Streptophyta; Magnoliopsida; Poales; Poaceae. The record is from RNAcentral.